UGCUAACCGUCCGAGCAAAACCAAAUCGCGCGAAGUCCACCAUUUUUUUCCUCUGAUCCAAAUUGAUAUUCGCCUUCAAGUCCGGAUCGAUCUAGGUCUACUACGAAACAAAUCAGUCAUCCAAUUUUCUCUCACUAAGAGGGAAGGCAGGAAGGCAGCCGGGCAGGGGGCGACGGGAAGGCGGCGACGGUCUGGGGAGCGGCAGGAAGGCGGCGACGGACAGGGCAGCAGCGGGAAGGCGGCGACGGACAGGAGAGUGGCAGGAAAGCAGCGACGGUCUGGGGAGCGAUGGGAAGGCGGCGACGGAUAGGGCAGCGCUGGCUUUGCGGGUAGCGAAGGGAGAAGCAUCAAGGCCGUGGUAGGAAAGAUGCAAGUCAUGUUCUAACGGCCUCUGCUCCUCUGGCUGCCCAUCCAACCUGCCCGCCGGUCGCCCUUCUUCUCCCUCACCGUGUACGACAGCGAGAUUGGCCUUCGAGGUUCGAUGGAUAAUGGAAAAGUCACCUAUCUGAAAAUGUGGAGCCUUGUUAUUUGCUAUUUUUUUUCUUUUAUGUCCAUGUAAUAAUUCGAACAAGAUUUGUACGUGUGACUGUCCUAGUCUU
Molecule: long non-coding RNA, 599 nt
Organism: Triticum aestivum (bread wheat)
Lineage: Eukaryota; Viridiplantae; Streptophyta; Magnoliopsida; Poales; Poaceae
Exons: 2
Source: RefSeq, a predicted model, not a curated record